GGGGGAGUGGCUUAGUGGGAAAGCACUUGCCUCAUAUGCAGGAGGCCCUGGGUUCAAUCCCCAGUGCUGCCA
Non-coding RNA from Jaculus jaculus (lesser Egyptian jerboa), 72 nucleotides. The record is from the annotation of a RefSeq genome assembly. NCBI's taxonomy places the organism in Eukaryota, Metazoa, Chordata, Mammalia, Rodentia, Dipodidae.